UCCCAUCUGCCCUGGCUGUCACAGGCUAAUAGCACCAGCUGCUUUCCAUUGCCCUAAGGAGUGAUUCUACUGCGGCAACGAGACCAAAUACAACGAAAGUAUUGAUGCUGCAAAAGAAGACGGAUCUUUUGACCUUAAAGAAGGAGAUGAAAUUACCUACAAUUACGGAGGAGGAGACUGGCCUUGGCGUAGCAAGGUAAAACAUCUACUCUGAAAAAGAGGAAGGCUCGGGAAGGAAAUGAGGUCCAUGCAGUGGAGAGACAUAUGAAGACCUUCAUCAUGUCAUGUCGUGACCCAGGGAAGUUGGCCUGUGAAAACUGCAUUAGAUCUGAGUCUUUAUAUCUUAAAGAUAGAGACUGGCAAAGUGUCAAAUUCUAUGUCUAUUACUGCACUGUAGCUUACAAAAGAGAUAUAAACAAAGAUUAAAUAACACUUUGAUAGUAACACUUUACAUCUAUAUUACAGAUACUGUACAUUAUAACAUCUGUAGUAAUGCUUUAAUAAUAAGUUACGUUACACCUCUAGCCUUUUACUUUGUAAUGAACCGCUCAGCAUUUACUUCAUCAUAAACUAAUCAGGAACAAAUCAGGCAUUUAAAAUAUCCAUUAGAAUCUUUACCUACACCGUUAUAUUGAAUUAGAUCAAAUUGGUUUGGGCCGCCUUCUUCCAGUGAUCCUUAUGCAGUUGGCUGACAAGUUCAUGAGUAAGCCUAUUGGGCAAUAAAAGCUUCAGUGUGCUACCCAUUUACAUGUUUAGACUGCCUAGAAUCAAAAUUAGCUACCUCAACAUACAUUAUUAAGUUGUUACUGUCACUUUUUAGCUUAGUCAGUUAAGUGGAUAUAGAAUUGUCUUUAUGACAUUUGGUUGUGUGUCUGUGUUUGGCUAGUAUCUUUAUUUUUCUCUAUGUUUAACUUUGAGCUGGCUAUAUGUAGUAAGCAGAAGUGUUAUGUCAAACUUAAAUGAGUCCAAGUUCAUUCAUGGCACAUGUGAGCUUAGUAGUUGUGCACUUUAAUGGGCAAAUAUUUGUUGUCUUUUACAGUAAAGAAGCUCAAGACUCAAGUUGUCUUUAUAAUGUUGAAUAGACAGGGUUUUUUCAACUGGCUGACAACUUUUCACUUGAUUAGAGAUCCA
This is a long non-coding RNA of Ictalurus punctatus (channel catfish), 1131 nucleotides long. The record is from Ensembl. Lineage: Eukaryota; Metazoa; Chordata; Actinopteri; Siluriformes; Ictaluridae.